UACGUAGGGUGCGAGCGUUAAUCGGAAUUACUGGGCGUAAAGCGUGCGCAGGCGGUUCUCCAAGUCCGUUGUGAAAGCCCCGGGCUCAACCUGGGAACUGCCUUUGAGACUGCUAGGCUCGAGACCGAGAGAGGAGAGUGGAAUUCCCAGUGUAGAGGUGAAAUUCGUAGAUAUUGGGAAGAACACCAGUGGCGAAGGCGGCUCUCUGGCUCGGUACUGACGCUGAGGCGCGAAAGCGUGGGGAGCAAACAGG
RNAcentral lists this ribosomal RNA (253 nucleotides) under uncultured bacterium. RNAcentral's name for it is "partial 16S ribosomal RNA". It matches the Rfam family "Bacterial small subunit ribosomal RNA", at positions 524 to 776 of the family's 1533-position model. The record is from RNAcentral.